AAACUUUUAACAACGGAUCUCUUGGUUCUGGCAUCGAUGAAGAACGCAGCGAAAUGCGAUAAGUAAUGUGAAUUGCAGAAUUCAGUGAAUCAUCGAAUCUUUGAACGCACAUUGCGCCCGCUAGUAUUCUGGCGGGCAUGCCUGUUCGAGCGUCAUUU
This 158-nucleotide ribosomal RNA is filed under the name Cylindrotrichum sp. SS-1552. RNAcentral's name for it is "5.8S ribosomal RNA". It matches the Rfam family "5.8S ribosomal RNA". Rfam says of the family: 5.8S ribosomal RNA (5.8S rRNA) is a component of the large subunit of the eukaryotic ribosome. It is transcribed by RNA polymerase I as part of the 45S precursor that also contains 18S and 28S rRNA. The record is from RNAcentral. RNAcentral also lists the same sequence under 3 other names. Lineage: Eukaryota; Fungi; Ascomycota; Sordariomycetes; Glomerellales; Reticulascaceae.